UGGGGAAUAUUGGACAAUGGGGGCAACCCUGAUCCAGCAAUGCCGCGUGUGUGAAGAAGGUCUUCGGAUUGUAAAGCACUUUCGACGGGGACGAUGAUGACGGUACCCGUAGAAGAAGCCCCGGCUAACUUCGUGCCAGCAGCCGCGGUAAUACGAAGGGGGCUAGCGUUGCUCGGAAUGACUGGGCGUAAAGGGCGUGUAGGCGGUUUACACAGUCAGAUGUGAAAUCCCCGGGCUUAACCUGGGAGCUGCAUUUGAUACGUGUAGACUAGAGUGUGAGAGAGGGUUGUGGAAUUCCCAGUGUAGAGGUGAAAUUCGUAGAUAUUGGGAAGAACACCGGUGGCGAAGGCGGCAACCUGGCUCAUGACUGACGCUGAGGCGCGAAAGCGUGGGGAGCAAACAGGAUU
This 407-nucleotide ribosomal RNA is filed under the name uncultured bacterium. RNAcentral's name for it is "partial 16S ribosomal RNA". It matches the Rfam family "Bacterial small subunit ribosomal RNA", at positions 355 to 779 of the family's 1533-position model. The record is from RNAcentral.